This 588-nucleotide ribosomal RNA is filed under the name uncultured Ascomycota. Its description in RNAcentral is "eukaryotic LSU rRNA". The stretch from base 230 to 383 matches the Rfam family "5.8S ribosomal RNA". The record is from RNAcentral. Lineage: Eukaryota; Fungi; Ascomycota.
CUUGGUCAUUUAGAGGAAGUAAAAGUCGUAACAAGGUUUCCGUAGGUGAACCUGCGGAAGGAUCAUUACCGAGAACUUGCCCCUUGGGGUAGAUCUCCCACCCAAUGUUUACACACUUUGUUGCUUUGGCAGGCCUGCCUUUUUGUGCUACUGGCCUUGGGCUAGUUAGUGCAUGCCGGAGAACCAACACUCUGAAUCAUUUAUUGUCUGAGCACUAUUUAAUAGUUAAAACUUUCAACAACGGAUCUCUUGGUUCUGGCAUCGAUGAAGAACGCAGCGAAAUGCGAUAAGUAAUGUGAAUUGCAGAAUUCAGUGAAUCAUCGAAUCUUUGAACGCACAUUGCGCCCUCCGGUAUUCCGGGGGGCAUGCCUGUUCGAGCGUCAUUACAACCCUCAAGCUUUGCUUGGUAUUGGGUGCUACCGUUUUGGUACACCUUAAAAUCAGUGGCGGUGCCACCUGGCUUCUAGCGUAGUAAUACUCCUCGCUAUGGAGAUGGGCGUGUACUUGCCAUAACCCCCAAUUUUUUAAGGUUGACCUCGGAUCAGGUAGGGAUACCCGCUGAACUUAAGCAUAUCAAUAAGCGGAGGA